UACGUAGGGUGCGAGCGUUGUCCGGAAUUAUUGGGCGUAAAGAGCUCGUAGGCGGUCUGUCGCGUCGGUCGUGAAAACUUGGGGCUUAACCCUGAGCUUGCGGUCGAUACGGGCAGGACUGGAGUUCGGCAGGGGAGACUGGAAUUCCGGGUGUAGCGGUGAAAUGCGCAGAUAUCAGGAGGAACACCGGUGGCGAAGGCGGGUGUCUGGGCCGAUACUGACGCUGAGGAGCGAAAGCGUGGGGAGCGAACAGG
RNAcentral lists this ribosomal RNA (254 nucleotides) under uncultured bacterium. Its description in RNAcentral is "partial 16S ribosomal RNA". It matches the Rfam family "Bacterial small subunit ribosomal RNA", at positions 524 to 776 of the family's 1533-position model. The record is from RNAcentral.